GGUCCCAUAACUCAGCUGGUUAGAGUAUCUGACUCAUAAUCAGAAAGUCCUUGGUUCGAGCCCAAGUGGGACCA
This 74-nucleotide transfer RNA is filed under the name Bizionia paragorgiae. It matches the Rfam family "tRNA". From Rfam's summary of the family: Transfer RNA (tRNA) molecules are approximately 80 nucleotides in length. Lineage: Bacteria; Pseudomonadati; Bacteroidota; Flavobacteriia; Flavobacteriales; Flavobacteriaceae. The record is from Rfam by way of RNAcentral.